This 26-nucleotide non-coding RNA is filed under the name Rattus norvegicus (Norway rat). The record is from RNAcentral. Lineage: Eukaryota; Metazoa; Chordata; Mammalia; Rodentia; Muridae.
GGAUGUCUUUUUGAACGUGUUACCUC